Small nuclear RNA from Dromiciops gliroides (monito del monte), 107 nucleotides. Lineage: Eukaryota; Metazoa; Chordata; Mammalia; Microbiotheria; Microbiotheriidae. The record is from RefSeq and is a predicted model, not a curated record.
GUGCUCACGUCAGCAGCACAUAUACUAAAAUUGGAGCAAUACAGAGAAGAUUAGCAUGGCCCCUGGGCAAGGAUGACAUGAGAAUCCGUGAAGUGGUCCAUAUUUUU